This is a non-coding RNA of Delphinapterus leucas (beluga whale), 1546 nucleotides long. NCBI's taxonomy places the organism in Eukaryota, Metazoa, Chordata, Mammalia, Artiodactyla, Monodontidae. The record is from RefSeq and is a predicted model, not a curated record.
AGGAUUUAAUUAGGAUAACAAGCAGCAAAUUGAUAAAAGAACAGGAGGACUCAGGAAUUGUUUUGUUGUCGUCUUCAUGUUUCAGACCUCCUAACUGGCUGCUUAGUAUGUGUUCCGAGGUUAGUUAUUCCAUCACCAGGUGAAAGGACUUAAAGUCACUGAAGUUAGGCCUCUUGAUUUAACUUCACAUUUGGCCUCAUUACUUGCUGUCGCAUGAAAUAACUACGCUUGAGGUUUCCUUCUCCCAUCUAUCCUCUACCCCUCCGCCUUUCUCCUCGCUGCUGCUGUGCCUGUGAAUCACUAGAUGGUGCUAAGACCAUCUAGUUGGUUAUAGCUGCCAGAGACUCAGGAAAGUAGUUAUUGGAGGAGUCAAGAGGGCUGGACCUGAGAACAGGAAGAUCCCUUCAAAGGUAAUCUGGGCAGCACUUCCGUUUUACAAACGAGGAAACUGAAACUCAGUGAAAAUAAGCAAUUUGUCAGAGUCCCCUAGACUUUUCUUCUUCUUCUCCUCCCCCUUCCCCCCUCCUCCUGUUUGUUAAUAGCUCCCACUGUAAUCUCAUCACCUGAGAAGGAGCCCAGGAAGGAAUAAAUCUCAGAGAGUGAGUCGGCCAGAUUUGCUGUGCAGAAAGAGCAUUCUGACAGCUGCAAGGUAUCAUUUACCAGAGCACUUUUCUUCGGGCUGCCACCACUGAUGAUGGCAUCGUCUUUCUCUCCUGACCCAUCGUUACUAAGACCAGCCCGAAGUGGCCUGCUUGCUGGGGAGCUGUGCCUUUCUUUGUUUCCAAGCCUGGGGUUUUCUUUAAGAGGUAAUGAAAGCUCCCAUUUAUUGAGGGCUUACCACGUGUCAGGUAUGUUUUUAUUUUGUCUCUAAUGCUCCGGGAUCCUCCCCUGCCAAGAAAUGUCUGCUCGGCUCUCCCCUUUGGCCACCCACUGCGCCCCCAGGCCUCACUGUGUGCCAGCACGUGAUGGGGCUCCGUGCAGGUCUAAAGAGUGUUGACUCUCCGCAUUACACAUGAGGAAGCUGCGGAGCGGGUUAUGGGCUCCGCUUCAUUAUUCGCGUAUGCAUUGAACAAGUACUUAGUUUAGACAGAGCAGUUAAGGGAGGCUUCUCUGAGAAGGUGACGCCUGAGCUCAAGGGUGGGAAGGAGCCGUCAUAUAUGGAACGGAAGAGCUCUCAGGCCUGGGCUGCUGUGGGGAAGCCCACUCUGCCGGGAUUUGUACCCAGAAGCUCAUCCUCACUUUUUGAUUGUCUAAACACAUUAGUGACCCGUCUUCCUACUCCCUGAGCUCGAAAAUAUUUUUCCUGUAGGAGAGGGUUUGUUUGAUCACAUGGCACCCUCUGCCCCUCCACACUGCCGUGAACAUUGUCAUGUGUGUCCGCUGAGAAGUGCCAGCUGCUUGGACCACAGUUCUUGCCGCCUGCAACGUGAUGUUCCACGGCUUCAGUGGAAUGUAGAAAUCUUUUCACCAUAUGGACUUUUUUUUUUAUAUUUAUUUAUUAGUUUGGCUGCGUCGGGUCUUAAUUGUGGCACAUGGGAUCUUUGUU